CCUACGGGUGGCAGCAGUGAGGAAUCUUGGUCAAUGGACGAGAGUCUGAACCAGCCAAGUAGCGUGAAGGAUGACUGCCCUAUGGGUUGUAAACUUCUUUUAUAUGGGAAUAAAAUGUUCCACGUGUGGGAUUUUGUAUGUACCAUAUGAAUAAGGAUCGGCUAACUCCGUGCCAGCAGCCUCGGUAAUACGGAGGAUCCGAGCGUUAUCCGGAUUUAUUGGGUUUAAAGGGAGCGUAGGUGGAUUGUUAAGUCAGUUGUGAAAGUUUGCGGCUCAACCGUAAAAUUGCAGUUGAAACUGGCAGUCUUGAGUACAGUAGAGGUGGGCGGAAUUCGUGGUGUAGCGGUGAAAUGCUUAGAUAUCACGAAGAACUCCGAUUGCGAAGGCAGUUCACUGGACUGCAACUGACACUGAGGCUCGAAAGUGUGGGUAUCAAACAGGAUUAGAUACCCUGGUAGUC
Molecule: ribosomal RNA, 460 nt
Filed under: uncultured bacterium
Lineage: Bacteria
Description: partial 16S ribosomal RNA
Rfam family: Bacterial small subunit ribosomal RNA
Source: RNAcentral